This 1327-nucleotide ribosomal RNA is filed under the name uncultured bacterium. RNAcentral's name for it is "bacterial SSU rRNA". It matches the Rfam family "Bacterial small subunit ribosomal RNA", at positions 28 to 1361 of the family's 1533-position model. The record is from RNAcentral.
GAUGAACGCUGGCGGCGUGCCUAAUACAUGCAAGUCGAACGCGAGCAGUACUGCUCGAGUGGCGAACGGGAGAGUAAUACAUUAGUAACCUGCCCUAGACUGGGGGAUAACUGCUGCAAACGGCAGCUAAGACCGCAUAGGUAUGGACACUGCAUGGUGACCAUAUUAAAAGUGCCAAGGCACUGGUAGAGGAUGGACUUAUGGCGCAUUAGCUGGUUGGUGAGGUAACGGCUCACCAAGGCGACGAUGCGUAGCCGACCUGAGAGGGUGACCGGCCACACUGGGACUGAGACACGGCCCAGACUCCUACGGGAGGCAGCAGUAGGGAAUUUUCGGCAAUGGGGGGAACCCUGACCGAGCAACGCCGCGUGAAGGAAGAAGGAAUUCGUUCUGUAAACUUCUGUUAUAAAGGAAGAACGGCGGAUAUAGGGAAUGAUAUCCGAGUGACGGUACUUUAUGAGAAAGCCACGGCUAACUACGUGCCAGCAGCCGCGGUAAUACGUAGGUGGCGAGCGUUAUCCGGAAUUAUUGGGCGUAAAGAGGGAGCAGGCGGCGGCAGAGGUCUGUGGUGAAAGACUGAAGCUUAACUUCAGUAAGCCAUAGAAACCGGGCUGCUAGAGUGCAGGAGAGGAUCGUGGAAUUCCAUGUGUAGCGGUGAAAUGCGUAGAUAUAUGGAGGAACACCAGUGGCGAAGGCGACGGUCUGGCCUGUAACUGACGCUCAUUCCCGAAAGCGUGGGGAGCAAAUAGGAUUAGAUACCCUAGUAGUCCACGCCGUAAACCACUAGGAGCUAAGUGUUGGGAGUUAAAUUUCAUUGCUGCAGAUAACGCAAUAAGUACUCCGCCCGAGUAGUACGUUCGCAAGAAUGAAACUCAAAGGAAGUGACGGGGGCCCGCACAAGCGGUGGAGCAUGUGGUUUAAUUAGAAGCAACGCGAAGAACCUUACCAGGUCUUGACAUCCGGAUAAAGACCUCAGAGAUGAGGGGAUAGAUAUAUCCGAGACAGGUGGUGCAUGGUUGUCGUCAGCUCGUGUCGUGAGAUGUUGGGUUAAGUCCCGCAACGAGCGCAACCCUUGUCGUUAGUUACCAUCAUUAAGUUGGGGACUCUAGCGAGAUUGCCAGUGACAAGCUGGAGGAAGGCGGGGAGGACGUCAAAUCAUCAUGCCCCUUAUGACCUGGGGUACACACGUGCUACAAUGGAUGGAGCAGAGGGAAGCGAAGCCGCGAGGUGAAGCAAAACCCAUAAAACCAUUCUCACUUCGGAUUGUAGUCUGCAACUCGACUACAAGAAGUUGGAAUCGCUAGUAAUCGCGAAUCAGCAUGUCGCG